UCUAGAGCAAGAAGAAGAAAAGAAACUCUAGGAAACUAGAGAAACUAGUGGCGGCCAAGAGGAAAAAAAUUGAGUUUUCCGAUUUCGUUCCGUGAAUUAAUUAUCUAGGGUGUACCAUGAUGUUAUGAAGGUAUUGUUAAUGAAAUUUUAUGGUUUGGAUCAGCCCAAAACGUCACCGAACAGCCCCAAAGUUUUAGCCGCGCUAGGAGAGCUUCCGAGGCAAGUUUUGGAGAGUUUCGGUAAAGACUAACAAGUUGGAAGAAUAAGAAAAGCUAGUAAGGCGCUGUACAGGAUGCCCGGACGCGGGAGAUAUGUGGGCACGCCGACGUUGUUCGGUGAUAUGACUUCUAUUUUCUAUGCAUAUGAAAAAGAUAUGUUUUAUAUGAUAAGACAAGCAUGCAUGGCAUCUGGCCUAAAAGGGCACUCAUUUGUACAGGUACACCUAGACAAGUAGAAGCUAUUAUAGAAGAUGUUCCAGCGGGGUUAGCAACUCCACUUGUUCCUGGGGUGCUGCCGAGUCAGAUUAUAAACGCUAUGAUGUUUCAUUCGAAGUUAGAGACUUUGCAGAUAGAGUUGUGGGUAUAGAGUGUCAUCUUUGUAAGCGGCGUCACCAGCCGAUAUGUUAUUAUGUCGUAUGUUAUGAGUUUUAUGGGAUGAUAGAUUUUGGA
Long non-coding RNA from Solanum dulcamara, 668 nucleotides. RefSeq lists it as uncharacterized. Lineage: Eukaryota; Viridiplantae; Streptophyta; Magnoliopsida; Solanales; Solanaceae. The record is from RefSeq and is a predicted model, not a curated record. The transcript is spliced from 4 exons.